This is an RNA transcript of Balaenoptera musculus (blue whale), 2484 nucleotides long. It is a transcript of the gene named tubulin polymerization promoting protein family member 2, with no coding region annotated. Lineage: Eukaryota; Metazoa; Chordata; Mammalia; Artiodactyla; Balaenopteridae. The transcript is spliced from 6 exons. The record is from RefSeq and is a predicted model, not a curated record.
AAGACACACACGGACAGAUACACACGGAAACACACAGCCACGCAGAGUCAGAUGGAGAGACAGAUACAGAUAAAGAAAGUCCUCCCUUCCCCUCCUCCCUCACCCGCAAGUCUCCCCCCAUACUGUCCUCCCCCAUCUCCAGUUGACCAUGGCAUCAGAAGCAGAAAGAACAUUCCAGCGGUUUGCUGUCUUUGGAGAAUCGUCAAGCAGUGGCACUGAAAUGAACAACAAGAACUUCUCCAAGCUGUGCAAAGACUGUGGCAUAAUGGAUGACAAGACGGUCACCUCCACUGACGUGGACAUCGUGUUCAGCAAAGUCAAGGCCAAGAAUGCCCGAACCAUCACUUUCCAACAGUUCCAGGAAGCAAUGAAAGAACUGGGCCAGAAGCAGUUCAAGGGGAAAAGCCCAGAUGAAGCCCUGGAGAACAUUUAUAGACUCAUGGAAGGCAAAGACCCAGCUACCACCGGUGUUACUAAAGCAAUGACGGUGGGAGGGGUGAGCCGGCUGACGGACACCAGCAAGUACACGGGCACCCACAAGGAGCGCUUUGACCAGAGUGGCAAGGGUAAAGGCAUCGCGGGACGGGAGGACAUGACUGACAACUCAGGCUACGCUUUCCCCUCUCCAGGACGCCACACGCUCUCCAACUCCAGGAGGACUCUACACCGCAUAAGACAGAAGACCUCCAUGACCUGGCCGCCACCAUGUCUCCAACUGCAUCUCCAUCUCUGCCUGCUUCCCCCAUUGGUGCCCACCCCACCUCUCGCUCACGUUAUCUCCUCUACCCAGCAUGCUCCUCUCUCCUCCCGCUCUCACCCCCGUCAGUUCCGCUGAGCCAGCUCAUGUGAAGAUCAGCCCGGAUGUCCUGUUUAAGAAGCGUCUGCUUGGAGCACCUCCCCAGCGAAGUGUGCACAGCCAAACUCCCUGCCCAGUCCUUGGCCUGAUGCCUGACUCCUUUUGUUCUCCCUAACCCUGUUCCCCUUCCUCCAUCCUUUCCUCUCGCCCUAUGAAUGUAGUGAAGGAAACAUGGCAAAAUUAUCCUACCGAGUGCAAAGUGAAACGGAUCUUGGAAGCUGGAUAGUUUCGGCGAAAAAAGUAAACAAAAUCACCUGCCUUAUCCAAAUAAUGGAGGUGAAAUAAGGGUUUCAGCUUGAACUGUGCAAAUAGUAGGUUCGACUUUUCAGUUUUCACACGCAAACCUAACCCUUUACUCCCUCUUCCCUUUGAACUGGGACAGCACGGCUGUGUUUACUUUCACAGAGCGCUAAGGAAGCCUUCUGGAGAACCCCACGUGAUGAAGUUAAAGGGCAAACUGGGAUAAUUAUAAUGACAGGAAAAUACAAGAGCAGAGAGCAGUGCAAGCCAUGGUUUGGAAACAUCUCACCCUAGAAUAAUGAGAAGUGAGGAGGAGUCCGGGCAGGCGAGGAAUCCAAAUGAGCUCCUGGCCUCCCACCCCCUCCUCUGACCCCAGCCUCCGGUCCAGGGCUGGCCUGAUCCACAUUCUGUCCACAGUCUGCUUUAAACCAUGGAUUUUAUCUCCAAACAUUUGCAUUUCUACAGCAGCAGAAGCAUAAUUCUCUACCCAGAAGUUCCAACUACAAAGAUUCAGGCACCUGAACAAAGCAGUGAAUGCUGCUGCCCAGCCAAGGCCUAACAGAGGGGGAACCGGAGGAGCAGGAGGCCUGGGGGAACUGGCUCCCGCUUCUCUGCUGCCACCUAGUGGUGUUUCUCCCUCCAGCACCAUUUUUUAUUCCAAAGAUACUUCAUCCUGACCCACAGCUAUGCUCUCUAUCUGCUAAAAUGAUGUCCCCUGACCUCAAAACAAACACCCAUCUUCCUGACUCAAAAUCCUAACUUCUGGACCAGAACACAAACUGUAUGACCCAUAUGGUUUGCGUGGGCCUCUCUGCAGUCACAUCCACACAACAGCUAGGGGAUUUUUAAACAGAUAGGGCUUUUACUCCUCUGCUACUUUUUUUUUUUUUCUUUUGGCCAUGCCGCACAGCUUGUGGGAUCUUGCAGGAUCCCAGUUCCCCAAUCAGGGAUUGAACCCGGGCCAUGGCAGUGAAAGCCUGGAAUCCUAACCACUAGACCACCAGGGAACUCCCUUUAUUCCUCUGCUUAGAACCCUCCUAGGGCUCCCCACUGUGUGCACAGCAAAACUCCUAAUGGUCUCUGAGGCGUCCCGUGAUCUGGCCUCUGGUCCCUCUCUGACCCCAUCACUCAUCCGCUCCAGCCACACUGGACUCCUCACUGUUCCUCCAACUCCCCAGGCAUCCAUCUGCUUUAGGGCCUUUACAGUGCUGUCCUCUAUGCUUGGAGCAUUCUUCCCCAGACAAGCAUAAGUUCACUCUCACCUUGAAAUCUUUGUCCCAGAGUCACCUACUUCAAUGACCCUAUUUAAAAAUCACUGCCUGAACACUCUUUGACAUAAAUCGCAGCAAGAUCUUUUUUACCCAACUCCUAGAGUAAUGAAAAUAAAA